AUUGAACGCUGGCGGCAGGCCUAACACAUGCAGGUCGAGCGGUAGCACAGAGAGCUUGCUCUCGGGUGACGAGUGGCGGACGGGUGAGUAACGUCUGGGAAACUGCCCGAUGGAGGGGGAUAACUACUGGAAACGGUAGCUAAUACCGCAUAACGUCGCAAGACCAAAGUGGGGGACCUUCGGGCCUCACACCAUCGGAUGUGCCCAGAUGGGAUUAGCUAGUAGGUGGGGUAAUGGCUCACCUAGGCGACGAUCCCUAGCUGGUCUGAGAGGAUGACCAGCCACACUGGAACUGAGACACGGUCCAGACUCCUACGGGAGGCAGCAGUGGGGAAUAUUGCACAAUGGGCGCAAGCCUGAUGCAGCCAUGCCGCGUGUAUGAAGAAGGCCUUCGGGUUGUAAAGUACUUUCAGCGGGGAGGAAGGCGGUGGAGUUAAUAGCUUCACCGAUUGACGUUACCCGCAGAAGAAGCACCGGCUAACUCCGUGCCAGCCGCCGCCGUAA
This 504-nucleotide ribosomal RNA is filed under the name uncultured bacterium. RNAcentral describes it as "partial 16S ribosomal RNA". It matches the Rfam family "Bacterial small subunit ribosomal RNA", at positions 29 to 523 of the family's 1533-position model. The record is from RNAcentral.